Molecule: ribosomal RNA, 253 nt
Filed under: uncultured bacterium
Lineage: Bacteria
Description: partial 16S ribosomal RNA
Rfam family: Bacterial small subunit ribosomal RNA
Source: RNAcentral
UACGUAGGGGGCAAGCGUUGUCCGGAAUCAUUGGGCGUAAAGCGCGCGUAGGCGGCCCGGUAAGUCCGUUGUGAAAGUCAAAGGCUCAACCUUUGAACGCCGAUGGAUACUGGCGGGCUAGAGUCCGGAAGAGGCGAGUGGAAUUCCUGGUGUAGCGGUGGAAUGCGCAGAUAUCAGGAGGAACACCAAUAGCGAAGGCAGCUCGCUGGGACGGUACUGACGCUGAGGCGCGAAAGCGUGGGGAGCGAACAGG